AGAUUAAUGGCAGCUGAGCACAGCCCUGGCUGGACAGUCUCGGUUCUGCUUUCUUUUCUGAGAUCUUUUUACACGUUCUGUACCAGCGACCAUUCCACUCAGCCAGAGGUGCAUCCUGUCCUGUGGGAUUAGCUGAGCCCUCUUCCCCAACCUGGCAGAGUCAUCUGCAUUAUGGAAAGCUCUGGUGGCCUUUCCUGCCAUGGUCUGACCCUCCCUCUGCUGAGGCAAUGGCAGCGCAUCAAAGUCCCUACUCUCAAUGACUUUUUCUUCACUUUCCUCAGAGCUGCUCCACUUGGCUCUGGUCCUCUUCUUUUCAGAUUGGAAAGCAUUACUGAGAUUUCUCACGACUUUUAAAUUGCCUGCAGUCUGUUUUGGGGCAUAGGGACAGGGUUAGAGGCCCUGAAGCGAUGCUCACUGCUUGUCAUAGACAAUCUUUUUCUUGCUGUGACCACUAUUUCCAUCAGUUACAGUGCGAGGUGGCUCCCCCUUCACUGUUUGGUUGCUCUUGGUGAGCUAGAGCUGAAAUUCCCAGUGGAAGUUGAGUGUAAGUCCCGGUGGGAAGGUGAAUGCAGGAAAUCUUCCCUGGAAAUAAGAUAAAAGCCCAUGGAAGAUGGCUUUCCCUGCUCUGUUUUGUUAUCUUCGGGUCCCAGAUACAAAUGUGAAGAGAAUGGGCACGUUUCCUGGUGGGUCCUGGGUUCUACAGACCUUCAGGACAUUGCCUGAGAGCCAUAUAAGCUGGAAGGGCAAAGGAGCGUGGCUCGAAAAGGGAGAAAUGUGCAGCAUAAGCACCAGGAACAAACUCAGAAGCAGACAGGAAGGAGCCCCCAGGCUGAAGCUGACCCUGGAGGCAUCAAGUUCCCAGCUCUGGACCUUUGAGCAUGCUUCCGGUUCUGCUUUGAGGCCUCUCUGGCCAUGAUUGCUUCCCUAAUGACCACUGCUUCAGAGAGACCUGCCCCAACUCCACCCGCUGCAGUGGCAUGGUUGUGCCUCUGCACUCUGACAGAAGACUGGCUAUGCAGCUGUCCAGUGUUGAACACAGCCUUGCAUUGUAAUUGCUUAAAUGUCUGUUUCUCCAACUGCUCUAUGACCUUGUUAAAGAUGGGAACCAUGUCUUAGUUUGCUUACCCCUGACAUAGAGGAGCCUCAAUAAAUAAUAAAUCUUAAAAGUUUA
Molecule: long non-coding RNA, 1171 nt
Organism: Homo sapiens (human)
Lineage: Eukaryota; Metazoa; Chordata; Mammalia; Primates; Hominidae
Exons: 3
Source: RefSeq, a predicted model, not a curated record